Molecule: ribosomal RNA, 490 nt
Filed under: uncultured bacterium
Lineage: Bacteria
Description: partial 16S ribosomal RNA
Rfam family: Bacterial small subunit ribosomal RNA
Source: RNAcentral
GAUGAACGCUAGCUACAGGCUUAACACAUGCAAGUCGCGGGGCAGCAUGGGGGUUGCUUGCAAUCCCCGAUGGCGACCGGCGCACGGGUGAGUAACGCGUAUCCAACCUGCCCUUCACCACGGGAUAACCCGGCGAAAGUCGGACUAAUACCGUAUGUUGUCCAUUGACGGCCUCCGAUUUGGACGAAAGGCUUGGCGGUGAGGGAUGGGGAUGCGUCCGAUUAGCCAGACGGCGGGGUAACGGCCCACCGUGGCUACGAUCGGUAGGGGUUCUGAGAGGAAGGUCCCCCACACUGGAACGGAGACACGGUCCAGACUCCUACGGGAGGCAGCAGUGAGGAAUAUUGGUCAAUGGGCGUAAGCCUGAACCAGCCAAGUAGCGUGCAGGAUGACGGCCCUAUGGGUUGUAAACUGCUUUUAUGCGGGGAUAAAGUGGCCCACGUGUGGGCUUUUGCAGGUACCGCAUGAAUAAGGACCGGCUAAUUCCGUG